Non-coding RNA from Streptomyces sp. NRRL WC-3618, 92 nucleotides. The record is from Rfam. NCBI's taxonomy places the organism in Bacteria, Bacillati, Actinomycetota, Actinomycetes, Kitasatosporales, Streptomycetaceae.
GGAGAGGUGCCCGGAGUGGUUAUCGGGGAUCGGGAUUCGUCUCGGUCGGGUGGUUUUGCCCGCCUGCGCAGGUUCGAAUCCUGCCCUCUCCG